ACAACUCCGACAUCAGCAGUAACAAGUACAACAGAAAUGUCCAAUACCACUGCAGUGGCAGGAACAACGACGGAAGUCACAACAACGACAGCAGCGACUUCCACAGAAGCACCAACUACAACAGCUACAACAGAAACAUCUAAAAGUGCUGCGACGACCACGUCUGAAAUGACCACAACAACUACUCCAGUGGCUGAAACGACAGCAGUCACAGCUACUACAGCAGCGACUUCCACAGAAGUACCAACUACAACAGCUACAACAGAAACAUCAACAAGUGCUGCAACGACGAUGUCUGAAACAACCACAUCCACUCCACUGGCAGAAACGACAGAAGUCACAACUACGACAGCAGCUACUUCCACAGAAGCACCAAGUACAACUGCAACAACAGAAACAUCUACAAGUGCUGCGACGACCACGUCAGAAAUGACCACAACUACUCCAGUGGCUGAAACGACAGCAGUCACAGCUACGACAGCAGCGACUUCCACAGGAGUACCAACUACAACAGCUACAACAGAAACAUCAACAAGUGCUGCAACGACGAUGUCUGAAACAACCUCUACCACUGCAGUGGCAGGAACAACGACGGAAGUCACAGCUACUACAGCAGCUACUUCCACAGAAGCACCAAGUACAACUGCAACAACAGAAACAUCUACAAGUGCUGCGACGACCACGUCUGAAAUGACCACAACUACUCCAGUGGCUGAAACGACAGCAGUCACAUCUACGACAGCAGCGACUUCCACAGGAGUACCAACUACAACAGCUACAACAGAAACAUCAACAAGUGCUGCAACGACGAUGUCUGAAACAACCUCUACCACUGCAGUGGCAGGAACAACGACGGAAGUCACAACUACGACAGCAGCUACUUCCACAGAAGCACCAAGUACAACUGCAACAACAGAAACAUCUACAAGUGCUGCGACGACCACGUCAGAAAUGACCACAACUACUCCAGUGGCUGAAACGACAGCAGUCACAGCUACGACAGCAGCGACUUCCACCGGAGUACCAACUACAACAGCUACAACAGAAACAUCAACAAGUGCUGCAACGACGAUGUCUGAAACAACCUCUACCACUGCAGUGGCAGGAACAACGACGGCAGUCACAGCUACUACAGCAGCAACUUCCACAGAAGCACCAAGUACAACUGCAACAACAGAAACAUCUACAAGUGCUGCGACGACCACGUCAGAAAUGACCACAACUACUCCAGUGGCUGAAACGACAGCAGUCACAUCUACGACAGCAGCG
Molecule: long non-coding RNA, 1269 nt
Filed under: Scleropages formosus (Asian bonytongue)
Lineage: Eukaryota; Metazoa; Chordata; Actinopteri; Osteoglossiformes; Osteoglossidae
Description: lncRNA (ENSSFOG00015024470.1)
Source: RNAcentral